UACGUAGGGGGCGAGCGUUGUCCGGAGUUACUGGGCGUAAAGGGCACGCAGGCGGUCAUGUAAGUCUGUUCUGACAGCUCCUGGCUCAACCGGGAGAGGCGAACGGAAACUGCAUGACUUGAGGACUUCAGAGGGACACGGAAUUCCGGGUGGAGUGGUGAAAUGCGCAGAUAUCAGGAGGAACACCGAUGGCGGAAGGCAGGUCUCUGGGCAUUAACUGACGCUGAGGAGCGAAAGCAUGGGGAGCGAACAGGG
This 255-nucleotide ribosomal RNA is filed under the name uncultured bacterium. RNAcentral's name for it is "partial 16S ribosomal RNA". It matches the Rfam family "Bacterial small subunit ribosomal RNA", at positions 524 to 777 of the family's 1533-position model. The record is from RNAcentral.